UGCUUCAUGGACAACUGGCUCUGCUCAGACAUGGACAACAUGUGCUGCUUCAGGCCAGCUUAGCCCUGAUGUUUUGGGCUUGAACUACAUGGAAAUUUAAGUGCUUCAAGUUUACCCGAAGAGACAUGGCCUAGCGGGACCCUGAGGAGCAUCUUGGGGAAGGGUGAAGAGAAAGCAUGCAGUUUCCACUUACAGACCACAUCACCCUGAUUCCUGCUGGGAGGAGCCUCUGCCGCAAGCCGCCGCCUUUCCCGAGAGCAGGCCGAGCAGUUCAGCGCUGCCGCGAAGGAGCCAGGGACCAUCACCAGCGGAGGACUGAAGGAGUGACCUACUAACUGAUGUGAAAGCCAUGCAAGGGGAUGGAGAACAACAUACAAGACCCCAAAGCUUUUAGAAGAAACGACUUCUUUGACACCACCCCUGAGCGAGAUGCACAGAAGUACCAAAGCAGAAAGCUAUUCUGGGAUGAACACACAGAUCCACCUAGCUACUCAUCUUUGCAGGUGCAAGACUCUACACUUGCCCUUUUCUCAAGCUCCUCCUGAAGAAAAAGCUGAGAUGUGAUUGAACAAGAAGCAUGUAAAUGGAAAAUGGACAGAACAUGAAAUGCUUCUCCUGGCAUUUUAUUCAUUCUUCAGCCAUUACCCUUCACUAAUGUACAAACCAGUGAAAGGAUGGGUACAAAUAUGUUCCAAGUCAGACAAAGUAAAAUUGAUGGAGACUACAGAUGCCAAAGCAAAUGAGAUCUCUGAAGGCUUGGAAAGAAAUUCACUGACAUAUCCACUCAAUAUUCAUUGAAAUGAGCUCAGAGAACUUUGCUCAAUUAAAGCCUGGCUGCAGGGCAAAGCAGAUCUAAGCUGAACUCAGAAGCAGUUUUUGGACCCAUAAGAUCGAGGUCAAAAGAGACAUAAUUGGCCAAGGAUUGCAGUAUAUUAUAAUGACAACUAGAACAGGUGUUUUGGAGCACUCUAGCUUAAUGAUGCCUAUCUCUCAUAGUUACACCAGUACUUACACUUCUACAGACAGCUUAGCAGCAUAGCUACACCUAUAA
Long non-coding RNA from Pogoniulus pusillus (Red-fronted tinkerbird), 1051 nucleotides. RefSeq lists it as uncharacterized. The transcript has 4 exons. NCBI's taxonomy places the organism in Eukaryota, Metazoa, Chordata, Aves, Piciformes, Lybiidae. The record is from RefSeq and is a predicted model, not a curated record.